Long non-coding RNA from Mesocricetus auratus (golden hamster), 807 nucleotides. RefSeq lists it as uncharacterized. NCBI's taxonomy places the organism in Eukaryota, Metazoa, Chordata, Mammalia, Rodentia, Cricetidae. The record is from RefSeq and is a predicted model, not a curated record. The transcript has 4 exons.
GUACACCAUGCUUCCUGCCAUGCUGACGACGGACUAAACCUCUGUUUGGUGUCACCCAAACAACAGGUGCAGAAUCCGGAGGAUCCACCAGUGCUGUGCCGUGCCACUCUGGAGGAGGGCUGUCUUCGAGUGUCACCUUUGUGGGCACUAAGGAUGUAACUCAGGGGUGGAACGCUUGACUUCACCAUAGGAGGUUGACCUCUGGGUUGCUAAGAAAAAGAAAAAAUAAAAUAAAGCCUCAGGUAAGGGGCUACAUCUCUCUGGCUCCCCUUCGGAGUGCAGAAACAGAAGCCCCACUGGCAGACAGAUAAAUGGUGACUCUCAGCCGCAGAGCUGGGCACACUGCCCGCACGACCAAAUGUGUGAGCUGAAACCACAAGGAAAGAGGCAGAAACGCCGGUGCCUGAGGAAGCAGCAUUGAUCAAAUCAACAGAAGGAGACUCUAAAAUAAGCAUAAUUACUAUCCUUAAAGAGGUUCCGUGCCCGCCUCUGUCACGGGGAGGCUGUAGGAUGAGGGCACACAGCUCAGCUUGUUUCCAUGCUUACUUCCGCCUGGGUAUCCUUUCACAGCUGGCCAGUUUGUAUCACCAGAAAGUGUCAACCUUGACUAACUGCUUCCUCAGCAUCCUUGAAGACCGGAUGAAGGACUCUGGUUUCUGGCCCUGGUUCCCAAGCAGCUGGAAUUCAAGAUCCCUUCACCUUCCUAAAAAAAAUCACUGAAGACCCUCAGAAUAAUUGCAAAGACUACUGUAAAGUCUUGUUUACAGUUGAAGAAAAGGCAUAUAAAUAAAAAGAAUGGCCACUCUC